ACUCCUACGGGAGGCAGCAGUGAGGAAUAUUGGUCAAUGGGAGCAAUCCUGAACCAGCAAUGCCGCGUGUGGGAUGACGGGGCUCAGCCCUGUAAACCACUGUCGGACGGGACGAAAGGAGCCUUCAGGGCUCUGGGACGGUACCGUCAAAGGAAGGGUCGGCUAACUACGUGCCAGCAGCCGCGGUAAUACGUAGGACCCGAGCGUUGUCCGGAAUUACUGGGUAUAAAGGGUGCGCAGGCGGCCGCGUGCGUCAGAGGUGAAAUCUCCGGGCUUAACCCGGAGGGUGCCUUUGAUACGGCAUGGCUUGAGUCCGAGAGAGGGUGAUGGAAUUCCUGGUGUAGCAGUGAAAUGCGUAGAUAUCAGGAGGAACACCGGUGGCGAAGGCGGUCACCUGGCUCGGCACUGACGCUUAGGCACGAAAGCGUGGGGAUCAAACAGGAUUAGAUACCCUGGUAGUC
Molecule: ribosomal RNA, 461 nt
Filed under: uncultured bacterium
Lineage: Bacteria
Description: bacterial SSU rRNA
Rfam family: Bacterial small subunit ribosomal RNA
Source: RNAcentral